This is a long non-coding RNA of Leptopilina boulardi, 544 nucleotides long. RefSeq lists it as uncharacterized. Lineage: Eukaryota; Metazoa; Arthropoda; Insecta; Hymenoptera; Figitidae. The record is from RefSeq and is a predicted model, not a curated record. The transcript has 3 exons.
UGAGAAUGCUGCGUGCGCAAUGUCGUCUGUACGUCAACUAGCAGAAAUCUCAAUUGUUUAUACUAAUAAAUUAAUAAAAUUUCUUAAGUUAAACUUACAUUUACAAUAAAAAUCCUUUGGAACAUUAAAGAAAACACAGGUUAUACCAGGGUUGGGUUUUACAUUAUAUCAGUGUUGCCAAUUACAUGGAAAUUUCCCGGAGUACGAGAAAUUUUGACAGCAUUGGGAAAUUUUACGGGAAAUGAAUAAAUUACGGGAAAUUCCGGGAAAUACUCUAAUAAUGCACAAAUUUAAUAGAUUUUUAACUAAAACUCAUGUUUUCUAACAGAAUAUAUUUUAAAAAAGUUUUAAUGAUUUAUAAAACGAUAAUUACAUUCAAAAAUUAAAAAUAAAAUACAUAAAAACUCAAUAAAAAUAGUAACAAUAGCAAUACAAAUAAUAAUAAUCUUUUAUCAGAGCUUAAUAUAUUAUAUUAUAAUUCUAAUAAAUUACAAUUUUAUAUGGUGGGAAAUUGCAAGGAAAUUUAAGAAAUUUUUCCGGGAGA